This 253-nucleotide ribosomal RNA is filed under the name uncultured bacterium. Its description in RNAcentral is "partial 16S ribosomal RNA". It matches the Rfam family "Bacterial small subunit ribosomal RNA", at positions 524 to 776 of the family's 1533-position model. The record is from RNAcentral.
GACGUAGGGCGCGAGCGUUGUCCGGAUUUAUUGGGCGUAAAGAGCUCGUAGGCGGCUUGUCGCGUCGGCUGUGAAAACCCGGGGCUCAACCCCGGGCCUGCAUUCGAUACGGGCAGACUAGAGUUCGGUAGGGGAGUCUGGAAUUCCUGGUGUAGCGGUGAAAUGCGCAGAUAUCAGGAGGAACACCGGUGGCGAAGGCGGGACUCUGGGCCGAUACUGACGCUGAGGAGCGAAAGCGUGGGGAGCAAACAGG